GAAGUAAGAAGAGAGUGUCUCUCCACUUCCACUCCAGCCCCCUACAGCUCAUCCUCCAGCAGGCAGCCAAGGGCACUUUUAGGAUCUCACAUCAGGUCCUUGCCUCACAUUCUGCACUGGCUUCCCAAGUAAUUAAAGUAAAAUCCAAAUUCCAGCUCACAGCUUAGAAAACUCAGCAGGACUGGCCUCUGUCCUAUCCCACACCCCACCUCAGUCCCUCAAGCUCAUCUCCUGUCAUUCCUGCCCAUUUCUGGACCCCAGCCACUCCUCAAACAGGGUGAGGAUGCAGUGUCCAAGGCACCAUCUUGAACUCAUCAUCGCCAAAUAUGUGAGCACCUUGAUGUUGGACUUCCCAACCUCCAGACCCUGACAGGACUUCCACACCCAUGCUCCUCUCGGCACCUUUCACCCAGCCCAAGCAGCGGCGGCCCAGUGGUGGAAAAGGUGCCACGGCCAAACGGAUUGGAGACUCACCCCGCAUUCUAGGCCGGAGAAGCGGGCGGGCUUGGGAUGCCGGCAGGAGGCAAUGACUCUCCCCAGGCGCUGCAUCCUGGCUCCGGGGCACAAGCGCCUCUCCGCCCUGACGCUGAUGCUCGUCUGGCUGCCCGUUCUUUGGCAUCAAAAUACCAGACGAUGGUGGCGCACCCUGUGGCCUGGGCUGCCUCACCUCAUUCGGUCCCGCCUAGAAAGACCAGAGGACCAGAAAACCAGAAGCCUGUCAGAGCGACUAGAGGCUGGCUCCAGCCAACAGCCGCGCGCCUCAGCGUCCACGAGGGUUACCUGGGUAACGCGCCGCUUGGGCUCGGCGCCCAGCCGAUGACGUAACCCGCGCUUGCGUAGUGGCGCCGCCCUGAUGUGUAGUCUCCAGGCCGCCCCGAACACCAGCCCAGC
RNAcentral lists this long non-coding RNA (891 nucleotides) under Homo sapiens (human). Its description in RNAcentral is "ZNF606 antisense RNA 1". The record is from RNAcentral. Lineage: Eukaryota; Metazoa; Chordata; Mammalia; Primates; Hominidae.